AGUGGCGAACGGGUGAGUAACACGUGGGUGAUCUGCCCUGCACUUUGGGAUAAGCCUGGGAAACUGGGUCUAAUACCGAAUACACCUCUGGGGUUGCAUGACUUUGGGGGGAAAGCUUUUGCGGUGUGGGAUGGGCCCGCGGCCUAUCAGCUUGUUGGUGAGGUUAUGGCUCACCAAGGCGACGACGGGUAGCCGGCCUGAGAGGGUGUCCGGCCACACUGGGACUGAGAUACGGCCCAGACUCCUACGGGAGGCAGCAGUGGGGAAUAUUGCACAAUGGGCGCAAGCCUGAUGCAGCGACGCCGCGUGAGGGAUGACGGCCUUCGGGUUGUAAACCUCUUUCGCCAGGGACGAAGCGCAAGUGACGGUACCUGGAGAAGAAGCACCGGCCAACUACGUGCCAGCAGCCGCGGUAAUACGUAGGGUGCGAGCGUUGUCCGGAAUUACUGGGCGUAAAGAGCUCGUAGGUGGUUUGUCGCGUUGUUCGUGAAAACUCACAGCUUAACUGUGGGCGUGCGGGCGAUACGGGCAGACUGGAGUACUGCAGGGGAGACUGGAAUUCCUGGUGUAGCGGUGGAAUGCGCAGAUAUCAGGAGGAACACCGGUGGCGAAGGCGGGUCUCUGGGCNGUAACUGACGCUGAGGAGCGAAAGCGUGGGGAGCGAACAGGAUUAGAUACCCUGGUAGUCCACGCCGUAAACGGUGGGUACUAGGUGUG
Molecule: ribosomal RNA, 717 nt
Filed under: uncultured Mycobacterium sp.
Lineage: Bacteria; Bacillati; Actinomycetota; Actinomycetes; Mycobacteriales; Mycobacteriaceae
Description: bacterial SSU rRNA
Rfam family: Bacterial small subunit ribosomal RNA
Source: RNAcentral